CCUACGGGCGGCAGCAGUGAGGAAUAUUGGUCAAUGGGCGCGAGCCUGAACCAGCCAAGUCGCGUGAGGGAAGACGGUCCUAUGGAUUGUAAACCUCUUUUGUCGGGGAGCAAACGACGCCACGCGUGGCGUUCCGAGAGUACCCGAAGAAAAAGCAGCGGCCAACGCCGUGCCAGCAGCCGCGGUAAUCCGGAGGAUGCGAGCGUUAUCCGGAUUUAUGUGGUGUAAAGGGUGCGCAGGCGGAAGAUCAAGUCAGCGGGAAAAUUGAGAGGCUCAACCUCUGCGAGCCGUUGAAACUGGUGUUCUUGCGUGAGCGAGGAGUAUGCGCAAUGCGUGGUGUAGCGGUGAAAUGCAUAGAUAUCACGCAGAACUCCGAUUGCGAAGGCAGCAUACCGGCGCUCAACUGACGCUCAUGCACGAACGUGUGGGUAUCGAACAGGAUUAGAUACCCCAGUAGUC
Molecule: ribosomal RNA, 459 nt
Filed under: uncultured bacterium
Lineage: Bacteria
Description: partial 16S ribosomal RNA
Rfam family: Bacterial small subunit ribosomal RNA
Source: RNAcentral